This 253-nucleotide ribosomal RNA is filed under the name uncultured Oscillospira sp. RNAcentral's name for it is "partial 16S ribosomal RNA". It matches the Rfam family "Bacterial small subunit ribosomal RNA", at positions 524 to 776 of the family's 1533-position model. Lineage: Bacteria; Bacillati; Bacillota; Clostridia; Eubacteriales; Oscillospiraceae. The record is from RNAcentral.
UACGUAGGUGGCAAGCGUUAUCCGGAUUUACUGGGUGUAAAGGGCGUGUAGGCGGGACUGCAAGUCAGAUGUGAAACCCAUGGGCUCAACCCAUGGCCUGCAUUUGAAACUGUAGUUCUUGAGUGAUGGAGAGGCAGGCGGAAUUCCGUGUGUAGCGGUGAAAUGCGUAGAUAUACGGAGGAACACCGGCGGCGAAGGCGGCUUACUGGACGGCAACUGACGUUGAGGCCCGAAAGCGUGGGGAGCGAACAGG